This is a long non-coding RNA of Pseudophryne corroboree (corroboree frog), 200 nucleotides long. RefSeq lists it as uncharacterized. The record is from RefSeq and is a predicted model, not a curated record. The transcript is spliced from 3 exons. Lineage: Eukaryota; Metazoa; Chordata; Amphibia; Anura; Myobatrachidae.
GAGGAGUUACUCACAUCAACGGGCAGUCACAUCCUCAUCAUGAAACAGCCUGCUAGUGGCAUCCUCCAGACCAUGUGAAUACCGACUGAAGAUGCUGUCUGACCAGGGAGGGUAAAUUUUUUCAGAGAUUCCCCAUUGAAACCGGCAGGGAUGGCGGACCAUAUAGCGGGUGCAGCACCAGGAAUUCCACAACAGCGACC